CCUACGGGGAGCAGCAGUGGGGAAUAUUGGACAAUGGGCGAAAGCCUGAUCCAGCCAUGCCGCGUGUGUGAAGAAGGCCUUCGGGUUGUAAAGCACUUUCAGUGGGGAAGAAAGCCUUGGGGCUAAUACCCUCGAGGAAGGACAUCACCCACAGAAGAAGCACCGGCUAACUCCGUGCCAGCAGCCGCGGGAAUACGGAGGGUGCGAGCGUUAAUCGGAAUUACUGGGCGUAAAGCGCGCGUAGGCGGUCUGAUAAGCCGGUUGUGAAAGCCCCGGGCUCAACCUGGGAACGGCAUCCGGAACUGUCAGGCUAGAGUGCAGGAGAGGAAGGUAGAAUUCCCGGUGUAGCGGUGAAAUGCGUAGAGAUCGGGAGGAAUACCAGUGGCGAAGGCGGCCUUCUGGACUGACACUGACGCUGAGGUGCGAAAGCGUGGGUAGCAAACAGGAUUAGAUACCCUAGUAGUC
Molecule: ribosomal RNA, 465 nt
Filed under: Vreelandella stevensii
Lineage: Bacteria; Pseudomonadati; Pseudomonadota; Gammaproteobacteria; Oceanospirillales; Halomonadaceae
Description: partial 16S ribosomal RNA
Rfam family: Bacterial small subunit ribosomal RNA
Source: RNAcentral